This 495-nucleotide ribosomal RNA is filed under the name uncultured bacterium. Its description in RNAcentral is "partial 16S ribosomal RNA". It matches the Rfam family "Bacterial small subunit ribosomal RNA", at positions 30 to 507 of the family's 1533-position model. The record is from RNAcentral.
UGACCGCUGGCGGCGUGCCUACUACAUGCACGUCGAGCGAACGGACGAGAAGCUUGCUUUUCUGAUGUUAGCGGCGGACGGGUGAGUAACACGUGGAUAACCUACCUAUAAGACUGGGAUAACUUCGGGAAACCGGAGCUAAUUCCGGAUAAUAUUUUGAACCGCAUGGUUCCAAAGUGAAAGACGGUCUUGCUGUCACUUAUAGAUGGAUCCGCGCUGCAUUAGCUAGUUGGUAAGGUAACGGCUUACCAAGGCAACGAUGCAUAGCCGACCUGAGAGGGUGAUCGGCCACACUGGAACUGAGACACGGUCCAGACUCCUACGGGAGGCAGCAGUAGGGAAUCUUCCGCAAUGGGCGAAAGCCUGACGGAGCAACGCCGCGUGAGUGAUGAAGGUCUUCGGAUCGUAAAACUCUGUUAUUAGGGAAGAACAUAUGUGUAAGUAACUGUGCACAUCUUGACGGUACCUAAUCAGAAAGCCACGGCUAACUACGUG